CGGGGUGUAGCUCAGUUUGGUAGAGCACUCGCUUUGGGAGCGAGACGCCGCAGGUUCAAAUCCUGUCACCCCGA
This 74-nucleotide transfer RNA is filed under the name Candidatus Woesearchaeota archaeon. RNAcentral's name for it is "tRNA-Pro". It matches the Rfam family "tRNA". From Rfam's summary of the family: Transfer RNA (tRNA) molecules are approximately 80 nucleotides in length. Their secondary structure includes four short double-helical elements and three loops (D, anti-codon, and T loops). Further hydrogen bonds mediate the characteristic L-shaped molecular structure. tRNAs have two regions of fundamental functional importance: the anti-codon, which is responsible for specific mRNA codon recognition, and the 3' end, to which the tRNAs corresponding amino acid is attached (by aminoacyl-tRNA synthetases). tRNAs cope with the degeneracy of the genetic code in two manners: having more than one tRNA (with a specific anti-codon) for a particular amino acid; and 'wobble' base-pairing, i.e. permitting non-standard base-pairing at the 3rd anti-codon position. The record is from RNAcentral. Lineage: Archaea; Nanobdellati; Candidatus Woesearchaeota.